This 70-nucleotide transfer RNA is filed under the name Gammaproteobacteria bacterium. RNAcentral describes it as "tRNA-Trp". Lineage: Bacteria; Pseudomonadati; Pseudomonadota; Gammaproteobacteria. The record is from RNAcentral.
GGGGCCGCCGGCUGGUGCCGGGCCGAGUCUCCAAAACUGUGCGCAGAGGGUUCGAUUCCCUCCGGCUCCA